AGUGGGGAAUAUUUCACAAUGGGCGAAAGCCUGAUGCAGCGACGCCGCGUGAGGGAUGACGGCCUUCGGGUUGUAAACCUCUUUCAKCAGGGACGAAGCGCAAGGUGACGGUACCUGCAGAAGAAGCACCGGCUAAMUACGUGCCANCAGCCGCGGUAAUACGUAGGGGUGCAAGCGUUKUCCGGAAUUACUGGGCGUAAAGAGUUCGUAGGCGGUUUGUCGCGUCGUUUGUGAAAACCASUCAGCUCAACUGCUGGCUUGCAGGCGAUACGGGCAGACUUGAGUACUGCAGGGGAGACUGGAAUUCCUGGUGUAGCGGUGAAAUGCGCAGAUAUCARGAGGAACACCGGUGGCGAAGGCGGGUCUCUGGKCAGUAACUGACGCUGAGGAACSAAAGCGUGGGUAGCGAACAGGAUUAGAUACCCUGGUAUGUCCACGCCNUAWACGGUGGGCGCUAGGUGUGGUGUUCCUUCCACGGAAUUCCGUGCCGUAGCUAAACGCAUUWAGCGCCCCGCCUGGGGAGUACGGCCGCAAGGCUAAAACUC
RNAcentral lists this ribosomal RNA (545 nucleotides) under uncultured Actinomycetes bacterium. Its description in RNAcentral is "uncultured actinobacterium partial 16S ribosomal RNA". It matches the Rfam family "Bacterial small subunit ribosomal RNA", at positions 353 to 902 of the family's 1533-position model. The record is from RNAcentral. Lineage: Bacteria; Bacillati; Actinomycetota; Actinomycetes.